This 1577-nucleotide long non-coding RNA is filed under the name Nicotiana tabacum (common tobacco). RNAcentral describes it as "long non-coding RNA (NTAB_LNC010659)". Lineage: Eukaryota; Viridiplantae; Streptophyta; Magnoliopsida; Solanales; Solanaceae. The record is from RNAcentral.
GCUCAGUCAAACACUAUAAUAUGAGAUAAAACUUAGGGAGUGCCAGUAACUCAAGUUUCUUAAAAACUAGCUAAAUUCAUAGAAAUAGAGGAGACUUACCAUGAUUCCAGGGACAGCUGGGGGGAUCCUCCUUUGAAGGAGACUUAGAGUAUAGUCCGCGACUUGCUGAGGAGUGGCCCUGUCUUUGCAUUCAGCACCAGGGGUGACCAUGCUCGGCUUCAGGAGGAUACCCUCGAACAUGACAUUGUUCUCAGCCAAAUAAAAGAAGACCUCAGCCCAAACCUUCUGUGCUACCUCAAAAGUCCUGUCAAUACCAUGUUCACCGUCUAACAAAAUCUCUGGCUCCACAAUUGGGACCAAACCACUGUCCUGAGAAAUGGCAGCGUAGCGAGCCAAGCCCCAUGCUGCUUCCUUCACAGCUAAUGCAGAUGGUCCGUUGGGAAUGCUCACCACGGUACGCCUGCAUAAGUUACCAUAAUUUUAGCACAUAUCAUCUUAAACAUAACAAAGUCAAUAUUUUUGAAAAUUACGAGGCAUUGUUGAACAUACCAUUUGGCGAAACGUGCACCCUGUUGGUAGUAUGCAGCAGUGCGGGAGGCAAGACCAUCAAGACCUUGACACCAUGACUCAUCAUUUGAACCAGCAAGGGGAACCAAACCCUGGUAACAGAUAAAAUGAUUAGGGGAUUUUGAUAGAAAUCUCAUUCCAGUCCAAUUCAUCAUUAAACUUGAAAUCCUCUCCUUUAACAUUCUGUACAUAGGCUGAUUAAUUCUUGUCUGAGCUAGUUUCACCACAUCAACAACUCUAAGUUGAACAAGUUAAAGUUUAUUUAAGAAUAAAACUUAAAGUUUGAACACCCUAUAACAAGCUCUUGCUACCAGAGGCGGACCUAUGUGUUAUAGUGUGGGGUCACCGGAUGCCGAAAACUUCGGUAGAAAUCUUGUAUGUGUAUAUGUAUAUACCUUGAAAAUGGUAAUUUAAAGCACUUAGCACCCUGAAUAUUAAAAGCCUUUAGUUGAGCAGAGUAUUGUGCCCCCGUCGCGUAAAAAUCCUGGGUCCAUCUCUCCUUGCUACCCAUACAUAACCUUGCCUUUCCUCUUUCUUGUUACUACAACUACAAUUACACCUUAAUUCCAAGCAAGUUGGGGUCGGCUAUAUAGAUCCUCAAACGUUAUGUCAUUCGAUUUAAGCUCAUCUGAGACCAAUAUUAUAUGAAUAAAAAUAGGAGUUACUAAAAGUUCACUAUACAUUUUACUGGCAUUGUUUCCUCUUUAUAGUUGUCCUUUUUUUUCCUUAAUCAAGUUGUGGGUUGUAGGUUAAUAUACCUUGUCAACUUUGAUACCAGGAACAAUGUUUUGUUCAACAAGAACAUCAACUAUUUUGCGGCCAUCAACGGUUGAUUGGUAGAGAGUCUCCUCGAAAAGAAUAGCACCAGAGAUGUACUGUCCAAGUCCUGGAGCUGUCACAAGCAGGGUACGGUAAGCUUGGCGGUUAGCCUCAGUGUUUUCCAAACCAAUGGAAGCCAAACGCUUUCCACAGGUAGCAUUGGAUUCAUCCAUAGCCAAAAUUCCGCGUCC